This 526-nucleotide long non-coding RNA is filed under the name Ananas comosus (pineapple). Its description in RNAcentral is "long non-coding RNA (ACOM_LNC015191)". The record is from RNAcentral. Lineage: Eukaryota; Viridiplantae; Streptophyta; Magnoliopsida; Poales; Bromeliaceae.
GGACACGAUGAUUUUUGAGGGCGGUGGAAAUGAUACGUUUCUAGAUUAGGAUUUUCUAAGUAUGAAAAUAUAUAUUAUUAUAUUAGGAUAUUUUAGUUAUUUCCAAUAAAGUGUUAUUAGGGUUGGUUUAUAUAAAAGUGUAUCUUUUAGGGUUUGAAAUAAUAAGAAGAAAUUGGCCGUCUUGUUCUAUCUUCCUUCUCAUUCCCUUCCCCCUUAUUUAUCUUUAUCUCUUUAAUAUCUCUCUCUUUAGGAGGUUCGAUCCUCUCGAAGUUAUUGUUUAUUCCUAUUGAUAUGAUAGGAUCGUAUCACAGAUCGAGUUUCUCCUAGAUAGAGUCUGCAGCAGCAAUGCGGCGGAAGUGGGGUAGACGGCUUAUGGUCACAAAGAAGGAUGCAAGAGAGUGGGAGAUGGAAGAGGGAGAGGAAGAGUACAGAAAAAAUCUGAGAAGUGGAAUGGGGGAUGUACAGGAGAGAAAUGGGAGAAUGUAUUGAGUCUCUGAGAAGUAGAGUGGGCCAAACAUGAUCAAGG